This 406-nucleotide ribosomal RNA is filed under the name uncultured bacterium. RNAcentral describes it as "bacterial SSU rRNA". It matches the Rfam family "Bacterial small subunit ribosomal RNA", at positions 354 to 777 of the family's 1533-position model. The record is from RNAcentral.
GUGGGGAAUAUUGCACAAUGGGCGCAAGCCUGACGCAGUGACGCCGCGUAUAGGAAGAAGGUUUUCGGAUUGUAAACUAUUGUCGUUAGGGAAGAAAUUGACAGUACCUAAGGAGGAAGCUCCGGCUAACUAUGUGCCAGCAGCCGCGGUAAUACAUAGGGAGCAAGCGUUAUCCGGAAUUAUUGGGUGUAAAGGGUGCGUAGACGGGAAAUUAAGUUAGUUGUGAAAUCCCUUGGCUUAACUGAGGAACUGCAACUAAAACUGGUUUUCUUGAGUAUUGGAGAGGAAAGUGGAAUUCCUAGUGUAGCGGUGAAAUGCGUAGAUAUUAGGAGGAACACCAGUGGCGAAGGCGACUUUCUGGACAAUAACUGACGUUGAGGCACGAAAGUGUGGGGAGCAAACAGGA